CAGCCGCCGCGGGAAUACGAAGGGUGCAAGCGUUACUCGGAAUUACUGGGCGUAAAGCGUGCGUAGGUGGUGGUUUAAGUCCGUUGUGAAAGCCCUGGGCUCAACCUGGGAAUUGCAGUGGAUACUGGGUCACUAGAGUGUGGUAGAGGAUAGUGGAAUUUCCGGUGUAGCAGUGAAAUGCGUAGAGAUCGGAAGGAACAUCUGUGGCGAAGGCGACUAUCUGGGCCAACACUGACGCUGAGGUGCGAAAGCGUGGGGAGCAAACAGGAUUAGAUACCCCUGUAGUCCCUGUCUCUUAUAC
RNAcentral lists this ribosomal RNA (301 nucleotides) under uncultured bacterium. RNAcentral describes it as "partial 16S ribosomal RNA". It matches the Rfam family "Bacterial small subunit ribosomal RNA", at positions 509 to 807 of the family's 1533-position model. The record is from RNAcentral.